GACGGCUUCAACGCGCAAGUGCGCAUCGAAGCAGUCGAACUCGUUGGCGCAGAAAGCUAUAUUCAUGCCGCGCUCAGCGACGGCAAGCCGUUGAUCUUCCGCGUUGCAGGCCGCUCCACACAUAAUAUCGAUGAAAUGGUCCGCGUUGGUGCAUCCGCCACGGAUGUACAUAUUUUCGGCGCGGACGGACGCCGCGUGAGCGACUGAUUCAUGCCAAAACCCGGUGAGCCUCGUUCGUCGGGUUUUAGAGCGCAUCCCGAAAAGUGUGAAACGGUUUUCGGAAAAGAUGCGCGUCAAAACAAAGGAUUAGAGCGCCGAUCUGAUUCAAU
RNAcentral lists this unclassified non-coding RNA (329 nucleotides) under Brucella sp. 191011898. RNAcentral's name for it is "BASRCI408". Lineage: Bacteria; Pseudomonadati; Pseudomonadota; Alphaproteobacteria; Hyphomicrobiales; Brucellaceae. The record is from RNAcentral.